Molecule: non-coding RNA, 117 nt
Filed under: Nomascus leucogenys (northern white-cheeked gibbon)
Lineage: Eukaryota; Metazoa; Chordata; Mammalia; Primates; Hylobatidae
Source: Rfam by way of RNAcentral
GCCGGGCGCGGUGACUCGCGCCUGUAAUCCCAGCACUUUGGGAGGCCGAGGCGGGCGGAUCACCUGAGGUUGGGAGUUCAAGACCAGCCUGACCAACAUGGAGAAACUCCGCCUCUA